UUUUGUUGAAGUAAAUUGACAAGUAGAAUCAUACCAAUUGCCAAUGGAGGCUGAUUGAAAACAAGAAUGUCCACAACAGCUGGCCGGUUCUAUUGAUUGUGGAAUCUUCAUGUUGAUGUUAAUUUUUACACUUCUCUAAUGAAGAACCCACGAAUAACAGAAGACCCCUGUAUGCACUGCAGUCGGAUGGCUUUGCAACAACCAAAGGUCUUCAGAGGUUUAUUGGAAGAGCCGUGCUUAAUAAUGCUUUCUAAAAUUGAAAGAGGAAGACCAAGAAAAAGGCCUUCUUCAGCUUUCAGUGUCUAAAACAGAUGAUGACCAACAACUGGCCAAAGAGCCUUUAGCCAAAAUUAAGGAUGAUAGACUUUU
This is a long non-coding RNA of Cyprinus carpio (common carp), 369 nucleotides long. RefSeq lists it as uncharacterized. Lineage: Eukaryota; Metazoa; Chordata; Actinopteri; Cypriniformes; Cyprinidae. The record is from RefSeq and is a predicted model, not a curated record. The transcript has 3 exons.